AGAAGCUCACUGGCUCUACCCGGAACCCUGAGCUGCCUAGGGCUGGGGGAGGGGUCCGAGCAGUCGCGGAGCCUGCCAGACCCUCGGCUAGAAUGGGGACCCGCUGUCCAGCCAAGGCUGGCGGAGGCGCACUGGGGGCGCAGAGGGCGAUGCUAGUAGUCUGGACCCAAAGGACUGCAGGAAGGAGACCGUGAGGAAGUGUCUGUGACUGGGAAGCCCCAGCUCCUGCUUGGGCCAGGCAGCCAGCACCUACCUGAUCCCGGGGAACCGGAGUCCGGCGGCGGCAGGAGAGGGUGUGCUGCCAAGUAGGACGGCGGGCAAAGGGCUUCUUCAAGUUUCUGCGCUGGAGUCACAACCUGAGAGGAAUCACUGUCUGGCGUUGGUGUCUGAGCAGAAGCCGCAGGAACGAGCAGGAGCAGCAGGAGGAGCUGCAGGACUUGUUUGCCGAGGCUCGUGUUCUGUUCAAAAGUUUGUAGACG
This 479-nucleotide non-coding RNA is filed under the name Pan troglodytes (chimpanzee). The record is from RNAcentral. Lineage: Eukaryota; Metazoa; Chordata; Mammalia; Primates; Hominidae.